AUUGAACGCUGGCGGCAUGCCUUACACAUGCAAGUCGAACGGUAACAGGUCUUCGGAUGCUGACGAGUGGCGAACGGGUGAGUAAUACAUCGGAACGUGCCCGAUCGUGGGGGAUAACGAAGCGAAAGCUUUGCUAAUACCGCAUAAGAUCUACGGAUGAAAGCAGGGGACCGCAAGGCCUUGCGCGAACGGAGCGGCCGAUGGCAGAUUAGGUAGUUGGUGGGAUAAAAGCUUACCAAGCCGACGAUCUGUAGCUGGUCUGAGAGGACGACCAGCCACACUGGGACUGAGACACGGCCCAGACUCCUACGGGAGGCAGCAGUGGGGAAUGUUGGACAAUGGGCGAAAGCCUGAUCCAGCCAUGCCGCGUGCAGGAUGAAGGCCUUCGGGUUGUAAACUGCUUUUGUACGGAACGAAAAGACUCUGGUUAAUACCUGGGGUCCAUGACGGUACCGUAAGAAUAAGCACCGGCUAACUACGUG
Molecule: ribosomal RNA, 482 nt
Filed under: uncultured bacterium
Lineage: Bacteria
Description: partial 16S ribosomal RNA
Rfam family: Bacterial small subunit ribosomal RNA
Source: RNAcentral